AACGAACGCUGGCGGCAGGCCUAACACAUGCAAGUCGAGCGAGGACUCCGGAUCUAGCGGCGGACGGGUGAGUAAAGCGUGGGAAUGUGCCCUUAUCUACGGAAUAGUCCUGGGACACUGGGAGUAAUACCGUAUAAGUCCCAUUGGGGCAAGAUUUAUCGGAGAAGGAUCAGCCUGGGUUGGUUUCGGUGGUCGGUAGGGGAUUAGCCUAUCAAGCCGACGCUCCAUAGCGGAUUUGAGAGAAUGGUUAGCCACACUGAGGCUGAGACACGGCCGAGACUCCUACGGGAGGCAGCAGAGGCGAAUCUAGGACAAUGGGGUCAACCAUGAUCUACCCAUGCCGGUAGAGUCAUGUAGUCCUUAGGGUUGAAAAGCACUUUCAGCUGCGGAUGUAAUGACGGUACCAAAAGAAGAAGCCCCGGCUAACUCCGUG
This 433-nucleotide ribosomal RNA is filed under the name uncultured bacterium. RNAcentral describes it as "partial 16S ribosomal RNA". It matches the Rfam family "Bacterial small subunit ribosomal RNA", at positions 29 to 507 of the family's 1533-position model. The record is from RNAcentral.